Molecule: long non-coding RNA, 256 nt
Organism: Dryobates pubescens (Downy woodpecker)
Lineage: Eukaryota; Metazoa; Chordata; Aves; Piciformes; Picidae
Exons: 3
Source: RefSeq, a predicted model, not a curated record
GCCACUUGCAGAUCUAAUGUGGGGGCCUGGUGGUCCUGGGAUACCGGUCUGGCCAGGUGGACCUUAGACACAGGAGAAAAGCACACUGUGUUGACCAGAGGCACCUGAAAGUGCAUGGGAAUGUGUGAAGAACUGAUGUAUCUGGCUAGCUGAGACCCUGGGCAGACUACUGCUGCUGCCUGAAACCCCAGUUCCCCCUUCUGUCCUUUCUCAAGACGAAUGUUCACACAGCCACUGUCUCCUGGAGGCCCUCUUU